CCCCAGGUCAGGCAGUUACUGGACACAGUGGUCCUCUAACUGCCACAGAACACAGAAAGAGGGGGUUCUGGGUAAUGGAAGCAUUGUGGAGUUCUAGCAGCCCUGUCCCAGUGGUGCCCUCCCAGGUCAGGAGGGCCGAGUGUCAGCCUCCUCAACCUCAGAAUAAACAAAAUCCCCUACAGGGGGCUGCUGUGGUCUUUCCAAGGCUCAGAAAGAGGGAAGAACUGUGGCAAAUGUGCCACGACCUAGCUCUGCCACCACCCUCUGUCACCUGCUUGAUAAAUCCCAACCUUCUUCAGGGCUCUACCUGUAACCUGUCCUCUUCCUCCAAUACACCUCUAUUUUGUAACAAUGUGGUGUUGUUGUUGUUAUUAUUAUUAUUUGUUUUAUUUGUAAAUCAGAGCAACAGAGAAAAAGAGGGAGAGAGGUUUUUCUAACCUCUGGUUUACUCCUCAAAGGGCUGCGACAGCCAGGCAUUCUGUAUUCUUCCAUGGGUGUCAGGGACUCGAGAACCUGGGUCAUCCUCUGCUACCUUCCCAGUCACAUUAGCUGGGAGCUGAAUUGGAAGUGGAGCAGCCAGGAUUCAAACCAGCCCUCCAGUAUGGGAUGCCUGUUUCCCAAGCAGUAGCUUAAUCUGCUAUGCCAUUGCUACCCCUUGUAACAACUUUCAAAGCCUUAGCAUUUUGAAUUUCAGUUAAUGCAAAGAGUUCCCCCCAUACACCUCACUCAGCUCCCUGAGUUCAGUCUGUGCCCACCCCUGUAGUAAGCAGGAUUCCCAUGGCAACAAACUUCUGACAGAGGACAAGUCUCAGCCCUGCUGAUCCAUUCUGUGUCCUCCCACUCUGCUUCUGUCCUGUUCUCUGUAGUGCUGUCAGCAUUGGUCACCAGAGAGUUUUCCCAGGAUGACAGAGAAGGGAGCAGAUGGCUGAGCAUGGCCUUCUUUGUGUCCUGUGUCGGCUCCACCUAGUCUGUCUGGGAGGAACUGGGCCUCUACCCUGGGUGCAGAUGAGGGGUUAAGAGACGAAACACUGUGAUUUCAGCACAGGUACUUGAUACACAUGUAGGUAACACUGAAGCUGAUACUGACAAUUAAUGGCCUGGCAAGCGUGGGGGAGGUCAGGAGCACCUGGGAGAGCUGGGUGCUGGGGAGACCACCAGGGAAUGCUAGGGAUCCCUGUCCCCAGGAGCAGCUUAGCCUCCCCUAAUGCCGUGUUCCUCCAGAUCUCCUCUGGCCCCUGCAGCAGUGUGGAGAACCUGGUGGGUUUGGUCCAGCUUUGUGGCUUGCUCCUGCUGCAUUCCAGCGGCUUCUGCUCUUCCCAAUGCAGCGGGGCCUGAACUGCACUCUUUGUGGAGUGAGCAUGUGUGAAUCUGUGUGUGCGUUUGUGUGUAAGUGUGUAUGUCCUAGCUCUGUGGUUUCUGCUCCAACUGGGCCUGGCUGCUCCACACAUGAGCAUGCAAAUCCUUGUCAGUCUCACCAGUGGCAUGAGUCUGGCAUCAGAGUUGCUUUGGAUGCUCCCCAGUUUCCCCACCACACUUCCCUGGGACAUUCUAGGUGUACAGAUGAAGGUUGGCAGAGUUCUCAGCCCCAUGAUGAAGCUCAGCCUCAGACGGGUGGUGGGGGGGUGCAGGUAGUGUGUCAGGUGUUAGGUCUACCCAGCACGGCAGGAAGCCACACACAUUCAAGAAUUCAAGUCCUCCUCAGAACAGCCCUUACAGACAAUGCUGAAAUGAGAUGCCCCAAGCUGGUGGGGGACCAGGGAAUGAAAGCUCUGUUCUCACCCAAGGUCACGGGGCAGCUGCCUGACGUCGUCCUGCUGAUGUAACCUAGGGUUAAGGCUGUUUAGGAGGAAGUUGGUCGGACUCACCUGAGGAAGGUCACUUCUGUUCUGUGGGACGUCAGCUUAUACUUGUGGGGGGUCCAAUCUGUCUUUCUCCACUGCUGCCAUCUGCCCUGCAGAAGAAAUAGAAGUGAGUCAGGGUAAUGUUUCACUCCAGCCUUUGGCACCAUAACCCCAGGCCACCCUUAACUGCUCUUCAAACCUGGCCCUGUCAUUGAUAACCCCAGACCCAUUUGUGUCCUGGGAUCAGGCACAGGGCCCCUCAGGGAUGUGAGGUAGCACCUGAUUCUCACUAGAAGGCCUGCUCCUUUGACUGACAGUUGUUCAGGCAUCACCAAGGAUGCAGUUAGAUCUGGAUCUCUCAGGUCUCCAUUCCACACCCUCCUGCAUGUCACCUCCUCUUGGCACAGCCUCUUUUUGCUCACCUGCUGUAACCAUUAACCUUUCCCUGACACAGGGACCACAGUGUCCAGACACCCUAUGGAAUGAAUGUUGUCCGUGCCACAUUCUGUUUAGGAUGCACCAUCAGCUUCCUCAUUCCACAGACACCCACCUGUGUCCAUGAGCCUACCCAUAUGCCCCAUUCACUCCCUUCUCUGGCCCAUCUUGAGUUCCCAAGCAGCACUUGCUGCCCCUUCUAGAAAGUUCUCUUCAAGAGAGUGUGUGGUGAAGCAUCCUGGGAACCCAGGGAUAUUACAGAGCCAUCAUAUCCACCUGCAGCUACCACUCAUUGUGUUUAUCUCCGUACUUCUCUAAAGUCACAGGCAAGGGUGAUGUCUUUCUGGUUUGCAUCUUAGUGCCUGAUGCAUGGCUGAAGCCUAAUAAGUAAAACAGAUUGAAACAUGUACGAUUCACAAACACACUGGUGUCGAGUGGCAUUGUAGGCAAUAAAGAUUCCUAGGUUUAAGUGCAAGCAUUUCUCACAGCUCUUGCUCCAAAGCUGUCAGCAGUUGGGUCCAAGUGUGAGAAGAGUUGCUGAACUGUGCCUUCCACACCCAGACCAUUGCUCACUGUCAUUGUGUUUACUGUUAAAUGUUCAUGCUACCCAAAGUGAUUUACAGAUUCAGUAUCAUCCCUGUUAGUAUAUCAAGAGCAUUUUCCAAAAGGUAGAAAAACACCCUACUUGAGUAUGCAGAGCUGAAGUAAUCUUGAGUGAAAAGUGGUAGGAACUCUCUGACUUUAAAAUAUUCUACAAAGCUCUGGUUAUAAAAACAGCAUGGUAUUGUCAUAAAAACACAUACAACAAAGAACAGGGGUCAACAUUGUGUUGCAGUGGGUUAAGCUGCUGCCUGUAAAGCCAGCAUCCCGUAUGGGUGCCAGUUCAAAUCCCAGAUGCUCCACUUCUGUUUCAGGUCCCUGCUAAUGUGCCUAAUCCUUGGGCUUCUGCACCCACCUAGGAGACCCAGAUGGAGUCUCGUGGCUUUGGCCUGGCUCAGCCCUGGAUGUUGUGGCCAUUUGGGGAGUGAACCUGUGGAUUAAAGAUCCCUCCUCCCUUUUCCUCCCUCUCCCCUUCUCCAUCCUUUUAAGUAAAUCUUAAAAAAAUCUAAAGGAAUAGAGAGCCUAGAAAUAAACCCACAUAUUUAUAGCCAUGUGACCUUUGCCAGGGCGCUUAGAAUGUACUUUGGCAAAUCAAUCGUCUCUUCAGUGAAAAUCAUUUGGGAAAACUGGGUAUCACAUGCAGAAGAAACUAGAUGCUAUCUCUCAACAUGUACAUAAAUAAACUAACAUGGAUCAAAGAUCUAAAUAAAAAACCUGAAGCUAAUGAACCAGUAAAAACAAACACAGAGGAAAUUCUUCACUACAUUGGAAUGGGCACCCAUUAUUUUCGUCAGACCCCAAAAGCAUAGGAAAGUAAGCAAACAUAGUCGAAUGGGAUUUUAUCAAAUUAAAAAACUUCUGUAUUCCAAAGGAAGCAAAGACUAGGGUAAAGAGACAACCUACAGAGUAGAGGAAAUAUUUGCAGGGUAUACUUUGAGAACGGAUUGGUAAUGCUAUGUAAGAAAGAAAUCAAUAGCAAAAAUAACAUGAUUCUAUUAUAAUAGAAUGCACAGAUUAAGCAGAAGUUAUUUCAAGGAAGACAGAAGUGACCAUCAGGGAUAUGAAAAAGUGUUCAACAUCACAUCAUCAGGGUGAUGGAGAUCAAAUCCACAGUAAGAUAUCAAUCACGACACUCCAGUUAUCUCGGCUGUCAUCAAAAAGACAAAAGAUAAGGGUUCCAUGGUAUAGCUCUACACAGGAGAUAGAAGUGGUGUUGUGUUUCACAGGAGGGUGACUACAGAUAAUGAUAAUGUACUGUGCAUUAAAAAUAUUAGAAGAUAGGAUUGUGAAUAUUUUCAGCAUGCAAAAUGAUACCUGUUUGAGGAGACAGAUUUGUUUAACCUGAUUUGAACCUGUGUAAAAACACUAUCUGCAUAUCUCAAAAUAUAACAUAGUACUCUAUAAAUAUGUAUAAUUUUUGUCUGUUGGUUAAAAUUUUAAAAGUAUACAAAUAAUAAAAAGCCAAAGAAAAAGAGAAAAAUUAUCCCAAAGGAAGUAAGUUCAAAUAACAAUGAUCAUAGCAGACACCAUACAAUAGAAGAGUUAACAAUUUGCAAAGUUACUUGAGAUAAAUCAACAAAAUAUUAACACUAGCAGUGGAAAAGCUACUAUUUUAUUUAUUCAUCAUAUAUUAGAAUUAUAUAAAAGAAAUUAAGAAAAAUUCAGUGUAUAAAGGUAGGCCUCAGGAUAUGAAGUGAGCAUACAAAAUUCAGUGGUAUUUCUAUUAGAAAGAAAGAAAUGAAAAUGAAAUAAAAUAAUUUACAAAAGAAUUAAAAAUAAUAAAAUACUUGGGAAUUUUUUAAAAAGAUUUAUUUAUUUAUCUGAAAGGCAGAGUUACAGAGAGGCAGAGGAAGAAGCUCCACUGAUCUGAAGCCAGGAGCCAAGAACUUCUUCCAGGUCUCCGGUGCAGGUGCUAGGGCCCAAGGACUUGGGCCAUCUUCUACUGCUUUUCCAGCCAUAGCAGAGAACUGGAUGGGAAGUGGAGCAGUUGGGACUCUAAACAGCACGCAAAUGGGAUGCUUUACCUGCUAUGUCACAGUGUCGGCCCUGGGAAAAAAUAAAAGCCAUAUAAUACCCCUGUGCUAAGAACAAAAUAGUACCAUGAGAAUUUAAAGAAGAUCCAGUUGAGUUGGAGAGACAUAUUUUUAUGAUUUUAAAAAAACUUUUUGUGAUAUACAUUCUCCAAAAUUGAUUUUAAAAUACAUAGAAAUGCCAUCACAUCCUUACAACUAUUUGUGUAAAUUCAUGUGAAAAUCCAUCUGCUACUUGAAAAUGUAUUUGAAAAUGCAGAAUGCAUGAAAUAAUCAAGCAGAUUUUGAAAAAGAACAAAUAUUGUGAUAUUAAACUGCCGGUAUCAAAACUUACAAUAGAGCUGCACUAGUACAAAUCUAUGAUCAAAAGAAGAGGUGAAGGAGUCAAGAAAGAGACACAAGCAUGCAGGGCAUGAGAUUUCUGGUUAUAUGCUUAGGGGAACCUAGGCCUGGUGCCUGGGUACCUACUGAGCCCAAGUUUUAAUGGGUUUCCAUGUCCACAGGCCCAGAGUCUCUGAGAGCAGUGCUUUGUGUCAACCUUAGACCAGCUGGAAGAACCUUCUGGGAAAUUCUUAGCUGUGAGGAGACGAAAAUGCAUUCUGUUAUUUAUUUGUUUACCAGACUGAGCCACAGUAUUUCUUCAUUUCUUUGAAAAUUUUUUUUUCUUAGAACUAGACAGUUUGGGAAUUAAAAUGUGGUAACCAUGGAAAUUAGAGUCCUUGGCAUCUCAAAAUUAUUUUAGGUAGUAGUUCAUUUCUAUAGUGAGCUUAUCAAUAUAAUUUUUAAAGUCUUUAAUUCCUGUGACGUGUGGUUGCUGAACUUUUUGUAGCGUUAUCUAUGGUCAUAGUGUUACUGAUAUUUUCUUAAACAGCAAACUGUUAUAAAAACUCCUUUAAACACGGACAUUUCUGGUGGAUAUGAUGGUCACAUUAUGAUAAAGAGUUUUCCCAGAGUUGAUUCUGAUCACAGUUUCUUACUUACUGGUUGCUCCAAUGAAAUGACAUGUCCAUGAGUCUUCCUAGAUCAACAUUCUAUGUGGGAUCUUCAGUUCAUUUUAUGAACUUAAGGGAAGAUAAUUCUUUACUGGUGGUCUGUGAAAUAGAAAAGUUUUUCUCAGGAAAGUAUAGGAAGUUUGUUACAGAUUACAUACGAUUUUGUCAUUAAAAACAAUGCGUAAUAGAAAACCAACAGGAAAUUUUAACCAGGAGUAUGUAAGUUGAUAGAACUUAUGAAUUUUAAGCACAUUAAAUCUGCAAUAUAGAAAAUGGAAUACAGACAGUUAAGAGUAUAGUAUGUCAGAUUCUAAUAAGAGAUACAUUAAUAUAAGACUAUUAAAUGAAUCAAGAGCAUUGAAAUGAUUAUUUUCCUGUGUUCCAGAAGAGAGAUUGUUGUGUAUCAACUGAUAUGGAGAAGUGGAUGGAAUUGAAAUCAGAUUUGGAUGUAAACUCAAUAAAACUAUUAACUAACUGAGCACCUAGGUUUAUUCAAAUAUGAUGGAUAAGUGUGAGUGUGUGUGUGUGUGUGUGUGUGUGUGGAGAGAGAGAGAGAGAGAGCGAGCGCUGAGAGGGAGAGGAAGAGGUAUAGAGAGAGUUAGACACAGGCACCAAGAGCUGAAACAGGUAAGUUUGGUGCUUCCUAUUAGACAUACUUGAGCAUGUCAUGUAGGGGAGUGAAUUUAGAAGACAAACUGAAUAUAAGUCAUUUCAGCUCAGGGAAAGAUAGAUUUUAUCAGCCUCCUAAUGGUCUCUAAAGUUAGGAGACUGAGGGAUAUCCCCCAGGAUGCAAGUGUUGAUCGAGGAGGCUUGUCUUGCCCUUUCCUGCAACAGAUCCAAGACACAAAAAUCAGUUACUUCUUACAGCUUCCAGCGCACGUGUCACUCCUGAGGGUAAGUCUUCCCUGAUUUUUGCCCAAUCAGUGUUAACGUGUCCUUCUCUAAGUCCCCUGUAGACCACAAUACAUGUCUUUGUCGCUGCACUCAUAAUAUUGAUUGAUUCAUACAGAGAUGUUUCCUUAGCAGUCUUCCCCACACCUCCAUGGGCUUCCCAAGGGUGUUCAUGCACUACUAGUUCCAGGAAUUCUGGUGUGUGCUGUGUGCUAAGGCUCAGCUCAGUGUUGUAUUUAGGGGGAAGAGAGGCCUGAUCCAUCCCUUUGAGCUACUGACUAAUCUUGGAGACUCUCUGUAGAGAGACUGGGAGGUGAUUACUGUGAGAUCAAGAGGAGAAUCCUGUAGGACCUUGCCAUGUUGAUUGACCUGUAUCCUUGAGGACAUAUCCCCAUGCCUUUUGCUCACAAUGUGCACUGGAUUAUUUAACAGCACAGUCUGUUUUGGCAGCAAUAGCCUUGGCUUGGGGACCUUGGGUGUCCAUUAGUGGCAGGCAUGGAUCAGAGGAACCCAGACCUCCUGACCUCCAGUCUAACGUCCACACAACCAAGAUGCCAAAAUUGACAUAGGUAAGUGAGUUCUUGGCUGAAGGACUCAUUUCUAAAUUCUCACUCAUGGGCUUAGGAAUUGAGUAAGCUGAGAAGAUCCCUUUCUUGCCUUUCUUCAUGGAGAUUAUGGAUGAAGAAGAUGUGAGCAGAAAUGACAUAAUUAGAAAGCAUGGCACUACAAAUCCCAACAGUUGAGGUUAAUACAGAGUUCAGGAUGUGUUGGGCGCUGUCUGAGGAGUAUUUGCAUGUAGAAGUACUUUUACUCUCAUAAGUUUUGUCAGUGAGUCCCUAAACUCCAGAAUAAAGUCGGUAACUCCUCUGACCUAGUGUUCUAAGUGUAAGCUGAGUUCCCCACAUCACUGUACUUGUCUGAGUACUGGCUUAAGGACAUUUGGAUACUUUGCAUGGGAAAAGUAUAGAGUUGACACCAUUAGAAAAAUGUGCUGCUGCCCUACCACUCUGGAGACUCGGCUACUGCCUCCUGAACCACAAACCAAGCCCUGCAUGGCAACCUGUAGCCACGACCCCUGUGCAAGGCUGCACAGGCUUGCUCUUCGCUUUCUGAUUGGUUGGCACCUGUGGGCGGUUAUCCAGUCAGAGUUGAUGUACUCUGUUGGCUACCGAGUUUAUAUAAAGGCUGCUCAGGGGCUCUGUUGCCCUUUUGCCUGCUUGGAAUCCCAUGCCGAGGGUUACUUUCUUCAGGUGGGUGCUGAGUGCUGCUGUGGAUCCUCGGAACAAGGAGGUGAACGGCGAAGAACCACAACUGCAGUAAGAGCGGUCUUGCUGGUGGAGGAGGCGUGGCAGUAGGUUCACCAGAGUCCACAGGGUUAUCCGUCCUGCCCAGCAGGUGAGUCGCUGCCCUUGGCCACCUCCAUUCAAGUGCUCAUCAAGUUUGGUGCAAAAGGCCAAGUACCAGCCAGAGGCUUCUACUUUGUCUACCAAGGUUUGUGGCACGUGGGGGUCCCAAAGUGGUCACUGAGGGAAUAGGUGCCUUUGACCCUAGGCUGAGCCUCUUCUUCUGUGUUUGGGGACAGUUGCUGGCUUAUGAGGCACAUUCCUGAAAUUCAGUUGAAUUUAGUCUGUUUGCUUACCCAAUAGACAUUUCUUAGACCAAACUCUGUGGGAUGAGCAAGGAAACCAGACCCAGGGAACCAGUUUCUGCCCCCAUGCCCACUCCUCCAUGCUCCAUUGGAGCCCCGAUGGCACUAGAGUGAGCAGCCCUGGCCUCUUACCAGGACUGUCUCCCCCAGAAGCUUGGUUUGGUCUAUGAGGUGCAGUAAAAGUGUAGGGCAAGGAAGGAUUCCAGCAUUGUAUGGGUGUAGAUUUGAACCCCAGCCCCACCACUUUCCAGCUAGGCCCUGCUGCUCCAUGUCCUGGAGCCUCAGUUUGCCCAACUGUAAGAUGGGAAGGGAGGAGUAAUAGUACCACACUGACAGGAUUGAGAGAGUGCACAGAGUACCUGGUAGCAAGCAGGUCAUAGCCUGUGUUGCCUUCCAUACUGGCCCAGAAAGGCGACGUCUUAGCGCUCCUAGCUUCUAGGUGUAGGCCGCAACCUCCAGGGGUCUGGAGGAUGUCCACCUUCAUGGAGCCCAGGUUCCAAGCAUAGUCCUGUUCAUUCUACCCUGCCCAAGAUGGACUUCCCUGUGGGGUACCAUCCCUGAGCCUGGGUGACAGGGUCCCCUCAGCCACUGCAGGGGUCACUGCAGGCAUGGGAGAUUCAGAGAGCAGAGUCCAGGGCAUGGUGUUAAGACCCACAGGGAGGAGAGGCCAGAGGCAGGCUGGAGGUGCUGGGAGCCGAGAAGAAAGCCCAUUCUCCUGUUAGGGAACCUGGUCCCAUGAUGGACCAGGUACAUCACACUACCAUGGCAACCACUCCAUGGCUCCAGAAGCUGUACAGCCAUGCUGUGCAUCCAAGCUGAGUUCCAGUACAGUGGGCCCUAUCCAAAGAGCCCCGCCCCCUGCCCUAAGGGAAGUGGCCAAAGCCUCCCAGGCUCCCUGCAGGCUGUCUGCUCCAGUCCCAUCAUCUGCAUUCCUGGGCCAGCUUCUGGAGGGAUGUGGCCCACCCCUCAGUGCCCUUGUCCCCUGCAGCCAUGCUCUGGACCAGCGCCACACAGUGCAGCUCUGUGCAGGAACCCUGCUAUGGCAAGAGGCUGGGCAGUGACUUCUCCAUGGGUACCGUCAUCUGCUUGGAAUGCAUUUCCGGUUAUGCCCUGCAGGGGUCACAAGAAAUCAAGAGCCUCCCUGUGCCAGGGGCCUUGGUGCAGUGGAAUGUCUGAGCACCCACCAGGACAGCUGGGGCCAGGUGAGGGAAGGCGGCGAGUGGGGGCACUGACAGCCCCUUCUCCCUGGGGGAGGCAGCAGGCCCAGCAGAUGCCUGCAGGCACAUGGCAGCCCCUUGCCAGCUGUGUGGUAUAGGGAGGCUGUCCCAUAGUCCUGAGGCUUGGUGUGAGAAAAGCAAGGAGGAGGAGCUGGGGUAUUGGGGCAGGCAUGCCUGGGGUCCUGGUCCCUGAAGCCGGGUAUAGUGGGACCAGUCCUUGGUAGAAGCCAAAGCCAGAACAAGAAGGUAUUCCUGAGGACACAGAGAGAAAUCAGCACAGAGGAGUCCCAGGCAGAGGCUGGGGGCCCUGAGGGAGAAGUCUGUGUAGGGAGCCCUGGAGUCCAGUGGGAGGAGCCUCUGACCAGAGCUGCAUCCCCUCCCAGUGCCCUGCAGAGGCAACCUCACAGAGCACAGGGGCAUCAUCUUGUCCCCUGGCUUCCCAGAGCCCUCCCUCAACAGUCUCAACUGCGUGUGGAAGAUCAUGGUCCCUGAAGGUGCCAGCAUCCAGGUAGGGGCACGUGGGCACCUCAGGCUGGCAGGUGCUGGUCACUGGCAAGCACUGAGCUAGUCUGGGCCCUGCCCCUGUAGCCUGCAUACAGAAACACAGCAGCUAUUCUUCUUGAAGCAUGGAGAGGAACAGGGAGAAUUAGACAGGAGGCCCAUCAAGAUAUGGCCUUGCAAACACACUCUGAUGAUCUUCCAGUCCUUGGCCUUGGCCUUUGUGUCAGAUGCUGAGAUUUCAGGACAUGGGCCCCAAAAUGGACUGCAUUUCCAGGCUUCCCAUUCACAUGCAGGUUGGGAACUGCCUGGGAAGGAUGUGAGUGGGUUUUCUGGAGUGACUGCAAUGCUCUGUAGUUUUGACAGGGGUUUGGGUGACACAGGUGCUAACUUGUGUCAACACUCAGAACACGUGCACACUUCCAAUCAUGACAGUGUGAACGCAAUUUGUGUGUUUCAUUGUAUGUAAGUUCCCCUCUGAAGAAAUAAAAAGCCAAUGUAGUUAUCAGAGCCUCCUGAAUGGAAGACUGCCCAUCUGCUGCACGGAAGAGGGGCUGCGGCUGAGGGCCGAGGCUCACGGGUCCUUCCUCGCUCCUUUACACAAGCACUGGGCUCCCUGCCGGUGCAUGGUGCCCCAGUCAGCCUGCAUCUCCCAAGGCAGCCACCAGGAGGGCAGAGUCUCCCCUGAUCCAAACUCCCUGGGCCAUCCGCAAAUGCCUAGAGUCAGACCUAGCUACAGACCUUAGCUCCCUGUCCUUCUCUCCCAUCUGCUGUCCUUGCUCUGGGUUGGGCAGGCAGAAUACAGCCACGCCUUGAGCCCUGCAGCCCUUGCCAAGUCCACUCCAACACACAGAGAUUUACUUGGUGCCUUUUAAGGGCUUGCAGCUGCAGAUGCACUCCUUUUGGGCAUGGGAGAAGCGCAGAGGCUGCCCGUCAGGAGAUGCCAUGCUGCUACCUGCUGCCUGGGAGUCAGCCAGCAUGGGAUUCAAAGCAGGGUGAGGACAAUCUCAGGAGAGAAGGCGAGAGCCACAGGGGACAGGGGCGAGCAUGAGCUCAUGUGGCCUCAGCCCUUGUCCUCUUGUUGGGCAGAGCUGGGGUCAAAUUGGGCAUGGUCUGAAUCUUGGCUCUGUGGCUUACGUAGGUCACAUGUGGAACCUCCCUCAGUUGGGUCCUCUCCUGCGAUACAGGGUGAUGUGGCCCGUGGCAAGGGGAGGAGGGGACGUGUAGACCUGCAAGCCCCAUCCUGCUCAUGGAACCUGCUGGGCAUGUGCUGCUUCCAUGAGGAAGGCCUGAGCAGGAAGGAAGAGGAAGAGGAAGGCUGAGGUGGAUGCUGAGGAAAUCGCUUUGUGCAAUGCCGGGUAUAUAAGGAGGGCAGGGUCAGCACUGGUUGGAGUAGAAAAGUCAAGGAGUGAGGAGCCCACGAAGGUGAGGCUGGAAGGGCCCCGGCCAAGCUUGUGAAGGCUCUGGAUGAGAAGGGUGGACUCUGUGUGAUGGCUGAGUGGUGGCCUAGGGAGUGCCCUGGUGCAUGGGGACAGGCUAAGCAGGACUGGAUGGCAGUGAGGAUGAGGUGGCUGAAGCAGUCCGGGUGCCGGAUAUGGAAUGAGAGGGGCAGUGCAGACCACAGGAGGCAGAGUGCAAGGAGCCACCGGCUGCUCCCUGACAGGAGCUGUCCUGACCUUGAACACAGUAGGAGAAAUUCGGCAGACUGCCUCGGGACCACCUGCACCGGCCUGUGGGCUCAGCCUGAGCCCCUGAGCGUCGCAGAGGUGCAUCUAGGAGAGAGGUGCCCUCCUACUGCAUCUCCCUCUGUGUCUUGGCUCUUGGGAUUUGUCCGCAGGGUGAGGGAGAAGGGCAGUGCUGAGGUGUUCGGCCUGGGGCUGGGGUUCCUCCUGACCCCGAGCUCAGCAGGUGGACCAGGCAGCCAGAGGACCCUGGAGGACGCCUUCCUGCCCCAGGAAUCUGGAGUCUGCAGAGCCUCGGUGCUAUCUGCGUGUGCAUGUGCUGGUCCUUUUCUUCUUUACUAUAAUGAAGUUCCCCGGGGCAGGCUGCUCACAAAGAAAAAGGCAUAUGUCAUUCACAGCGUGUGAGGUUCAAGGGCAUGACGCUAGCAUCAGCCCAGUUCCAGUAAGGGUCCUCCUGGCUGCAUCAUGUCAAGGUGACACCAAGGGUGGAAGUGAGUGGGGCAGGGCAGGCUCAGGCUUUUAGAACAGUGACAGGAGAAGCACCUUCAUCUCUUUCCAGGGCAUGCCCCCAUGUGACCCAAGACCUCUCACUAGGCCUCGCCUCCCAGUGCCACCACCCUGGGGCCCAUGGUCCCAAAACAUGGACCACUGGGGGACAAACACAGCCAACCAUAGCAGUGCCUCGCCAUGGGAGCAUCUUCCCACUGCCUCGGUCUGCAGGACGUUGCCAUUCUCCCUUUGCUUUGUCUCCACCUUGUCUAGCCAUGGGCCUGAGCAGCUGUCCAGAACCCGCUGUGCCCAGUAACGGGGUGAAGAGCAGCCAGCGCUACCUGGUGAAUGAUGUGGUCUCUUUCCAGUGAGCCGGGCUGUGCCCUCCAGAGCCAUGCGCACAUCUCCUGCAUACCGGGGACCAUUCUGCGCUGGAACUACCCUCCUCUGCAUUGGUAAGAGAGCCCAGACCCUCAUCCACUCAAACCCACGCCCCCAGGGCUUUGAGCUCAGUAGCCUAUCAUGGAGUUCAAGUCCAAGUCGAUUUGUGCCAAGUCAGUCCUUAAAGACCCCUGUUUUUGUUGUCACUCAAGGGUGUUGUGACUUGGAGACCUCUGCCCACCAGAUGAAGACCCACAGGUAUGCCCAAUGGAAAAUGUUCUAGUGACUGUUCUGGUUCCAGAUAAUGACCCAGGUCCCAAGUGGAGUUACCAGGGACUUGGGAUUUUGACUUUUUGUGAGAUUGAGAAGAUGCAGUAGCAGCAGUGAAAUGCUGAGGAUUCUGGGUGAACUUGGUUUGGCUUUGUGUCCUAGCCUCUGCUGAGCAGUGAUGAGAUCAGCGGAAACAGGAGAAGACAGGGCGUCCACUCCAGAAGCUUCUGGUCAGGUCAGGGAAGGAGGAAGCGAGUGUUUAUUGAGUAUCUAUUGUGUGCAAGGCUUGGUGCUCAUACUUCCUCCCCGUGGCUCUUAGGAGGAGGAAUCGGUAUCCUCUAGUUAUAGAUAGGAGGUUGAAGGUGCUCGGGGGUGGAGAAGAAAGUGGCAGAGUCACAAAAGGAAACCCAGGUGCUCGGAUGCCCAGCGGGUAGGAAAGAGCCCUCAGAGCAGGCCUGGCAUGGGAAGUGAAGUCCUCUCCCUGGGGGCCAGGGCUCGGUCCUCUGCAGAGCAGGGCAGCAAGGUGACUGGGCUCCCCCAGGGUCCUGCCGAGGCCCUGCCAAGCCAUCACAUCUACAGUGGCUGCUGUCUGUUGAGGUUUGCUGGGUGUGGCCUCCCUGUCGCAAGUAACAUGCAGUGCUUUCAGAGACACACACAGAUUCCUCAUCCGCUGGUUCACUCCCCAGAGGUUGGCAAAGGCCGGGACUAAAGCAAGCCAAAGCCAGGAACCUGGAACUCAGUCCAGGUCUCCUGCAUGGGUAGCAGGGACUCAGCUACUUGAGCCGACACCUGCUGCCUCCCCGGUGCAGUAGCACACCAACGUGGGAUGCGGCUGUCCCAGGCAGCAGCUUAACCAAAGCCUGUCCCACAUGCAGUGUUUUCUGUUGGAACCUCGCAACAGCCCCCUGAAGUAGCUGCUACUCUUAGCUCCAUUUGUACAGUCAGGGAAACUGAGGUUUGGAGGGGUUUAGACAGGAAGUAAAGUUGCAGUUGUGCCCCAGCAGGUCCAGGCCAGAGCCCACACCACACUGAGCUGCCCGGAUCUAGAGGGCACUCACCUGGACCCUGUGUCUGGCAGCCCCUUACUGCUCACAUGACCCUUUCCUAAAGGAGGUCGACUGACCAGGCCACAGUGGCACCCAGUCCUGCAUCCCCAGGUGGCUCAGAAAUCAGCAUCCUCAGCCCCUGCCCCGACCCCUGCUUCUCAGACAGCCCAGCAGGGGCUCCCCUGGAAUUCUGCCCAGUCACUGUCCUGAGCCUCACCUGCUGGCCAGCCUGGCCCCUGGCAUGCAGUAGGCUCACAAUGCCCGCCACCUCCUUGUUUCACUAUUUGUCUCCAUUUUAGAAGAGUGGUUCAGGCAGUGAGGUGAGGGAGACCUGAGGGACUGUGUAUCAAGUGGUGGGACCUGGAGCAGCCCCACCCUGCUUUUCCUGCAGGUCCUGGGUGCAAGGACCCAUGAGGGCUGUGAUCAAGCCCAAGACCCCCCUCUCCCGGAUCUGUGGACUCCUAGCAGUUUAGGGCUAUGCACCUUUCCCUGAAUGUACUCACUCAGUUUGGUCUGGGUGUGCAGUUUUGUAGGGUGACCCCUUUGGAUUCUGAAAGAGCUUUGUGACUCAGGAAAGUCAAAACUCACUGCUGUAAGGGGGCUCUAGACCACCAGUGUGGCCCAAUGCAUGCCUCCAUGCUGGCCUAACCCUUGGUCUCACCUCCUUGUCACAGCACAGUGUGGGGGAGCAGUGGAGGAGAUGGAGGGGGUCAUCCUGAGCCCUGGCUUCCUGGGCAACUACCCCAAUAACAUGGACUGCUCUUGGAAGAUCACACUGCCCAUGGGCUUUGAUAUCUCUGGUUGGAGAAGUAAAGGCUUUGCACUGGCACGGAUCAAAAGGGCUGCACUUGGAGACUACUCUGCCCACACCAUGGAGUUUCUGCAUCCCAGGAGGCUGAGGCAUGAAGAGGGCCCCUUUUGUCCUUUCCUCUACAGUCUGGAGUGGGAGUAUGUCUUCAGGUUCCGGAAGAGGGAAGCAGCCUAACUGGGCUUCUCUAAAUCUGGUUGGAAGAGCAGAGGGAUUGGUGACCCUCUGAAGGUUGGGGUCUUAAUGACCAGGUCCCAUCUGCCAAAAGACGCCAGGCACACAGUGAUGACAGCUUUGGCAGUCUUGAGAGACUCCAGAUUCUGAGACACCGAGGAAGGGGGUGUCUGGGAGACCCUGUAGUUCUGCCUGCAGGCUGAGGGCAGUGGAGCCUUAGAUGAUGGAGGGCGAGGAGAAUCUCAAGGCAAGCGAGUUCAGAUGGGAGGGCUGCUGUGGGUAAGCCAUUGUGUUCAGCCACCAGCGCGCUUAAGCAAGCUCUGGGGAAGACACUACUGCAGGCUCCAGUCGCAGCUGCCAGAAUCCUUUAACUACAAGUGAGUGUUGAACUACUCACCAGGCUUAGAAUUGUGGUACCUGGUUUCCUUGUGUAAAGGGCCCCUGCAUUUACAAGUUGCUGCCACUAGGUGGAGGUCAUGGGCCAGUCCUUUUUGCACAUUUCACAAAUUCAACCUUCAGAAGCCUGUGGGAUUCCUCAGGGCCCCAGGGAUCAUAGUGUGGGGAUGGAAAGCACAGGCUCUGUGGGUGAUAGGUUGCAAAGAGGCUCACUGCAAAAUUACCUGCCAUCUGUAACAGGGUCUGCUCACUAAGAGUGACUUAUACUGUCAAACAGCUCACAUGAUGGAGUUAAAAUGAAUGAGUGCUAGUUUUUGUAUGUUAUUAUAGUGCCAUGCAUGUACGUGUUUAAAACCCAGAAACCCCAGUACGUAUUUCAGAAUCUACACCCAGGAGCUGGAAGGAUGCCUUCCAAACCCAUGCAAAGGAUAGCUUCUGUGGAGGGACACAGUAGGGUGGGACAGGGCAGGAGACAAAGGGUUUUCAGCCUUGUACAUCAAGUACAGCAGAGACUGUUACAUAUUGCAGGUAAUUUUGCAGUGAUCUUCACACCUAUCACGCAUGGAGUCUGUGCUUUCCAGCCCCACACUCGGAUCU
Molecule: non-coding RNA, 15995 nt
Organism: Oryctolagus cuniculus (rabbit)
Lineage: Eukaryota; Metazoa; Chordata; Mammalia; Lagomorpha; Leporidae
Source: RefSeq, a predicted model, not a curated record